AGAGUUUGAUCCUGGCUCAGAAUCAACGCUGGCGGCGCGCCUAACACAUUCAAGUCGAGCGAGAAAGUGGGGCAACCCAUGAGUACAGCGGCGUACGGGUGAGUAACACGUGGGUAAUCUACCUCCUUGUGGGGAAUAACCCUGGGAAACCGGGGCUAAUACCGCAUAAGCCCGAGAGGGGAAAGCAGCAAUGCGCUGGGAGAGGAGCCCGCGGCCGAUUAGCUAGUUGGUGAGGUAACGGCCCACCAAGGCAAAGAUCGGUAGCCGGCCUGAGAGGGCACACGGCCACACUGGCACUGAAACACGGGCCAGACUCCUACGGGAGGCAGCAGUGGGGAAUCUUGCACAAUGGGGGAAACCCUGAUGCAGCGACGCCGCGUGAGCGAUGAAGCCCUUCGGGGUGUAAAGCUCUUUCGGCAGGGAAGAUGAUGACGGUACCUGCAGAAGCAGCUGCGGCUAACUACGUGCCAGCAGCCGCGGUAAUACGUAGGCAGCAAGCGUUGUUCGGAGUUACUGGGCGUAAAGGGUGUGUAGGCGGUCCUUUAAGUUUGGUGUGAAAUCUCCCGGCUCAACCGGGAGGGUGCGCCGAAUACUGAGGGGCUAGAGUGCGGGAGAGGAGAGUGGAAUUCCUGGUGUAGCGGUGAAAUGCGUAGAUAUCAGGAGGAACACCGGUGGUGUAAACGGCUCUCU
This 690-nucleotide ribosomal RNA is filed under the name uncultured Acidobacteriota bacterium. Its description in RNAcentral is "bacterial SSU rRNA". It matches the Rfam family "Bacterial small subunit ribosomal RNA", at positions 8 to 730 of the family's 1533-position model. Lineage: Bacteria; Pseudomonadati; Acidobacteriota. The record is from RNAcentral.